AACGAACGCUGGCGGCAUGCCUAACACAUGCAAGUCGAACGAGACCUUCGGGUCUAGUGGCGCACGGGUGCGUAACGCGUGGGAACCUGCCCUUAGGUUCGGAAUAACUCCCCGAAAGGGGUGCUAAUACCGGAUAAUGUCUUCGGACCAAAGAUUUAUCGCCUUUGGAUGGGCCCGCGUUGGAUUAGCUAGUUGGUAGGGUAAAAGCCUACCAAGGCGACGAUCCAUAGCUGGUCUGAGAGGAUGAUCAGCCACACUGGGACUGAGACACGGCCCAGACGAGUGCGGGAGGGAGUAGGAGGGAAUAUGGACGAGUGGACAAAAGCUUGAACGAGCAAGGGGGUGUGGGUUAGGAAGGCUUGAGGGUUGUGAGGCUCUGUACCGGGGGAAAAGAAAGAAAUUAGGGGGAGAAUCAGCUGCUGCUAACUCCGUGACCGGAGCCGCGAAAAUAGAAGGAAGAGCAACCGUUUGAAC
This 474-nucleotide ribosomal RNA is filed under the name uncultured bacterium. RNAcentral's name for it is "partial 16S ribosomal RNA". It matches the Rfam family "Bacterial small subunit ribosomal RNA", at positions 31 to 542 of the family's 1533-position model. The record is from RNAcentral.